Molecule: long non-coding RNA, 914 nt
Filed under: Homo sapiens (human)
Lineage: Eukaryota; Metazoa; Chordata; Mammalia; Primates; Hominidae
Description: long non-coding RNA NONHSAT179816.1
Source: RNAcentral
GCGAGAGGACUGAGUGUGCUGAGCCCCCCCGGGACGAACCCCCGGCUGAUGGAGCUCUGAAGCGGGCAGAGGAGCUCAAGACUCAGGCCAAUGACUACUUCAAAGCCAAGGACUACGAGAACGCCAUCAAGUUCUACAGCCAGGCCAUCGAGCUGAACCCCAGCAAUGCCAUCUACUAUGGCAACCGCAGCCUGGCCUACCUGCGCACUGAGUGCUAUGGCUACGCGCUGGGAGACGCCACGCGGGCCAUUGAGCUGGACAAGAAGUACAUCAAGGGUUAUUACCGCCGGGCUGCCAGCAACAUGGCACUGGGCAAGUUCCGGGCCGCGCUGCGAGACUACGAGACGGUGGUCAAGGUGAAGCCCCAUGACAAGGAUGCCAAAAUGAAAUACCAGGAGUGCAACAAGAUCGUGAAGCAGAAGGCCUUUGAGCGGGCCAUCGCGGGCGACGAGCACAAGCGCUCCGUGGUGGACUCGCUGGACAUCGAGAGCAUGACCAUUGAGGAUGAGUACAGCGGACCCAAGCUUGAAGACGGCAAAGUGACAAUCAGUUUCAUGAAGGAGCUCAUGCAGUGGUACAAGGACCAGAAGAAACUGCACCGGAAAUGUGCCUACCAGAUUCUGGUACAGGUCAAAGAGGUCCUCUCCAAGCUGAGCACGCUCGUGGAAACCACACUCAAAGAGACAGAGAAGAUUACAGUAUGUGGGGACACCCAUGGCCAGUUCUAUGACCUCCUCAACAUAUUCGAGCUCAACGGUUUACCCUCGGAGACCAACCCCUAUAUAUUUAAUGGUGACUUUGUGGACCGAGGCUCCUUCUCUGUAGAAGUGAUCCUCACCCUUUUCGGCUUCAAGCUCCUGUACCCAGAUCACUUUCACCUCCUUCGAGGCAACCACGAGACAGACAACAUGAAC